RNAcentral lists this ribosomal RNA (497 nucleotides) under uncultured bacterium. RNAcentral's name for it is "partial 16S ribosomal RNA". It matches the Rfam family "Bacterial small subunit ribosomal RNA", at positions 28 to 507 of the family's 1533-position model. The record is from RNAcentral.
GAUGAACGCUGGCGGCGUGCCUAAUACAUGCAAGUCGAGCGAACAGACGAGGAGCUUGCUCCUCUGACGUUAGCGGCGGACGGGUGAGUAACACGUGGAUAACCUACCUAUAAGACUGGGAUAACUUCGGGAAACCGGAGCUAAUACCGGAUAAUAUAUUGAACCGCAUGGUUCAAUAGUGAAAGACGGUUUUGCUGUCACUUAUAGAUGGAUCCGCGCCGCAUUAGCUAGUUGGUAAGGUAACGGCUUACCAAGGCAACGAUGCGUAGCCGACCUGAGAGGGUGAUCGGCCACACUGGAACUGAGACACGGUCCAGACUCCUACGGGAGGCAGCAGUAGGGAAUCUUCCGCAAUGGGCGAAAGCUUGACGGAGCAACGCCGCGUGAUUGAUGAAGGUCUUCGGAUCGUAAAACUCUGUUAUUAGGGAAGAACAAAUGUGUAAGUAACUAUGCACGUCUUGACGGUACCUAAUCAGAAAGCCACGGCUAACUACGUG